GGAGGUGGAAAGGGGCCCAGCUUUGCACUGGGGCAUUCCUGCAGAGUUCAGCUUCUUUUCUCCAGCAGCAUGACAGGAGGUGGGCUAUAACGUCCCUUCCAGCUCAGGCCCAAUGGUGGAACCCAUUAUGGAGUGGGAAGGAGUACUUGGCUACAACCUAUCUUAGCCAUUUCCCAAAAAAGCUCAUGGCUGAGUAAGAACCCCUGUGGCAUCUGACCCUGGUUGGCAGAGAUCAGAGGCGUGGUUCUUCACCAGCUCCCUCCCUGAAGGUAUCUAGGAGGAAACGGAUGAUUUGGGAGAAUAGUGGGAGAGGUGUCCUGCUUAUCUACUCCUAGAAAAGACACAAAAACCUGUGUGAUCCUUUUUCAGUGUUACAGGUACACCCUACUGUUCCUCAUUGAGAAAUUUCACCAGAUCCAGUGCCUGUUCAUUAUCUUAUGGGUGCCUCUGCAGCACAUGUAUACCAUAUUCCUCUUAGAAUCUGCCUUGUGCUAUUCUUGUCAACAACACAAUUUCUGGGACA
Non-coding RNA from Ictidomys tridecemlineatus (thirteen-lined ground squirrel), 523 nucleotides. Lineage: Eukaryota; Metazoa; Chordata; Mammalia; Rodentia; Sciuridae. The record is from RefSeq and is a predicted model, not a curated record.